CAGACCUCUAAUCGGAAAAGACUACCCGCUGAGUUUAAGCAUAUCACUAAGCGGAGGAGAAGAAACUAACCAGGAUUUCCCUAGUAUGCGGCGAGCGAAUCGGAAAGA
Molecule: ribosomal RNA, 108 nt
Filed under: Sarmentypnum exannulatum
Lineage: Eukaryota; Viridiplantae; Streptophyta; Bryopsida; Hypnales; Amblystegiaceae
Description: partial 25S ribosomal RNA
Rfam family: Eukaryotic large subunit ribosomal RNA
Source: RNAcentral